AGUAGCGGAGCUCGAGCAUCCUUUAGUCAUCUAUCUGGGGAGACCUGGAACUCAGGCUUCGGCUUCCCGGCAGGUUUGUCUUUAAUUUCCAAGGUUGCAGUUCUCUUGACACAAUCCACAGCAUCCUUCUCUCCAACCGGGCUGUGGAUGAACCUGGGACUGGACUGAAUCCAGCAGCUGGGGCAGCCCGGGCCAUGGUGCGUCUGAGCCCCGAGCUCUGGUAAGGCAGUAGUGGCGGCGUUGUUCGAGCUAGGCGGGUGCCACUCCCGGGAGCUUCCUCCCAGCUGUCACAAUGUUCAGUUGGCUGGGUAACGAUGAUCGCCGCAAGAAGGACCCUGAGGUCUUCCAGACGGUGAGCGAUGGACUCAAAAAACUCUACAAGACCAAGCUGCUGCCUCUGGAAGAGUAUUACCGCUUCCACGAGUUCCACUCGCCCGCCCUGGAAGAUGCUGAUUUCGACAACAAGCCCAUGGUCCUGUUGGUGGGCCAGUACUCUACCGGCAAGACCACCUUCAUCAGGUGAGCCUCAUCUGGGUGCUGAGCCUUCCGGGUGACGUGGAAAGUCUUCCAUUAAGGGCUCUGAAGAAAUCCCUGUGGGAGGCCUCAAAAGUUGAUCCUACUACCGAGUCCCCCAUUGAUUCCUAUAUGAUGUCCCUCCUCAGUUCUUAGCCCUGGUCAUUUUAUUAAGAGUCAUCCCUGUUGUCUGAUCUGGGCACUGAAACUGAGGCACAGAAGGAACCAGACUCCUAAUGAAGGUGGGGAUACCGUAACCCUCCUUUUGACUAGAAUCUCUUAUCUCGUGAAGGGCUUGGGAUUAUCCCGGGGAGCCUUACCUUUGCAGCCGAGUUGUUCUCAUGGUCGCGGGCCUGGGGAUGGGGGUGAACUGGAGACCCUGGGGUCAUUUAUUCUUUUACCGUUUUUCCUUCUCUCUGACAGUGCUUUUAGGGCUGUCUCUUAGAGAAGCAGAAUACUUUUAAUAAGUUUCUUCUUUGAACUUAAUAGUUCAAUAAUAAUAAUAAUAAUAAUAAUAAUAAUAAUAAUAAUAAUAAUAAUAAAGCAGCUUACAGAAGUAGAGGAGAUACUAAGAUGCCUCAUCUGGCCCUUGACUUUGCAGGUGAGAUAGCAGAGGUGAUGGGAGGAUACGUGAUGGUUUAGAGCUGCACAAGAUGGAAGCAGCCCUCGGUGCCUGUGAAAAAUGUUAGCUACGUGCCUGUAACUUUAACAGGGAGUCUUCCAUUCCGUUGAAUGAUAGAUUUUGGGGGCUGCAAGCAUUCAGAGAGAAAGUCAGAAAAAUCCAAUAGCUCUGAAGAACAGGCCUCUCUCAAUCUUUACUGCAUACAGACUGCAAAGCCAGGCUGCCCUUUUCAAAGGUUGAGGGGUACACAUAUUCCAAAGGUUGGAGGCUGCUUAUGGCCCUUUGGGCUAAGAGGUCACACUCUUACAGGUGCCGUAUCCUCCCAGAGUCAAGGGCACCCAUCUGCAGAGGGCUUUAAAGCAGCAGUCCUCAUAUUUCUGGAUUGGCAUCAUGAUCUACAGAGCCACGUGCUUUGCUUGUCAAGGAGAGCAGCAGAGUUGACAACCUGGUGACUCAUUUUUCAGUUUCUCGUGUCUCCCGCGCUAAGCUUCUGGGAGCCGUGUGUGUACCAUGCUAACCUGUCCUGUCUGAGCAGAGCACCAAAUCAUUUGUCUUUGUGGAGUGGACAGUCUUGGGCUGUCAACUUGACCUGCAGCUUUGCAAGGUCAAAUGAUUUCUGAAGUGGGGACCUGGGGGUUGUGGCUUAUUAACUCUAAUAUAUUUUAAACAUGAGACAUAAAUCCAUUGUGGGUUUUUUUUUCACCUUGUUUUUAAAAAUCUAAAUCACUUUUCUUUUAAAAAAAAAAAAAAGAAAGCUGUAGCACUCUCUUUAGAAAACUCCACGGAUACCCUAUGUUUACCUGUAGUGUUGAAUGGAUUUAACUGGGAACACAGAGGGAGAAUCUUGGAUUCAAAGUCAACCCUUAAUUUUAUUAAACACCAAUUGGUGCCAAAUGUGCUUCAGAGAUACCUGGGUUGUGCACACAAGUUCCUUUGUAUCGCUGUUCUCCACCCUUUUGGGUUUAUGCCUCAUGGGAAGUGUGGGCAAUCUGCAAACUGUUCUUGGCUUCGCACCGCCUUCCCUGGCCCUCUGAUCAUCCUUGGUCAUGACCCUGAGGACAUUAAGCUACUGGACCAUCUCCUUCCCGCAGUAAAGGCACUUUGGUAGCUUCUGGACCUGAGCAUGUCCAGGGACUAAGCUCUGGGGAGUUCCCAGCAGCCAUCUUGCAAAAUGGGAGGGAAGAAAAGCAAAUGUGUUUUAAGAGCAGGGUCCCCCGAACACUAGAAAGUUUAAGUGCCUCUGUGUGGGAUACCCUCUGGAUUUUGCCUAAGUCACCACAGGCUGUUACUAGAUCCAAGAAAGUGGAAGAGUGAGAUGCCCCACAUUAUCCCUUAUCUGAGGGAGGCAGAUCCCUCUUCCUUCUUAUCCUCCUAGUUCAAGGGGCCCCCUUCCUCCUCAUAACAAUAACUGAAUUUAGCUCGUGCACCCAAAGCCGUUUCCCCUCUAGAGAGAGGGCAAGAGUGGAGCGAGUCAACCGUCAGGGGUUUUCCCCAACCAAACUGCACAUUUUUCUCUCUUCUCACUAAAUCCAACAGUUUCAAUUAUUAUUAGAAAGCGAAGAAUAGAAUAAACUUG
RNAcentral lists this long non-coding RNA (2711 nucleotides) under Mus musculus (house mouse). RNAcentral describes it as "long non-coding RNA chr17:73804950-73807661". Lineage: Eukaryota; Metazoa; Chordata; Mammalia; Rodentia; Muridae. The record is from RNAcentral.